GGGGCUGUGACUCAGUGGUAGAGCACUCACCUGGAAUGUGUGAGGCACUGGGUUCGAUCCUCAGCACCACA
This 71-nucleotide transfer RNA is filed under the name Marmota monax (woodchuck). RNAcentral describes it as "tRNA.Ser". It matches the Rfam family "tRNA". From Rfam's summary of the family: Transfer RNA (tRNA) molecules are approximately 80 nucleotides in length. Their secondary structure includes four short double-helical elements and three loops (D, anti-codon, and T loops). The record is from RNAcentral. Lineage: Eukaryota; Metazoa; Chordata; Mammalia; Rodentia; Sciuridae.